GGACUACCGGGGUAUCUAAUCCCGUUCGCUCCCCUGGCCUUCGCCCCUGAGCGUCAGGUGCCUCCCAGGACACUGCCUUCGCCUUUGGUGUUCCUCCGGAUCUCUACGCAUUUCACCGCUCCACCCGGACUUCCAUGUCCCUCUGAGGCCCUCCAGUCGCACCGUCUUGGGAGCACUCCGGCAGGUAAGCCGCCGACUGUCACCCCCAACGCGCACGACCGCCUGCGGGCGCUUUACGCCCAGUAACUCCGGACAACGCUCGCCCCCUACGUCUUACCGCGGCGGCUGGCAC
This 292-nucleotide ribosomal RNA is filed under the name uncultured bacterium. RNAcentral describes it as "partial 16S ribosomal RNA". The record is from RNAcentral.